ACAUUCAUUAAAUGAUUCUUUAUUGCUUAGGCCAUCCCUGUGAUCUCUAACUGUUCUCUUCAUUUUCAGGCUCUCCCCUACUGCUGCCAAAGGAAUCUUCUGAAAGUCAAUAUUGAUUAUGCUCCCACUGUUAAAAGAAAUUAUAGGAGGGAAGGAAGAAGAAAGACUGAGAGGAAAAAAGGAAGUCCUUAAAAGAAUUCUAAGAGAAGCCCUAAAGAUGUACUCCAAGUUGUGGCUACAGAAAAUUUUCACAGGCUUCCCAGUACUGCUGAGUCAGCUAAGUAUUGAAACAUGUUUCUCUCAAGUGUAAAAAUACAAAGUUG
RNAcentral lists this long non-coding RNA (323 nucleotides) under Mustela putorius furo (domestic ferret). Its description in RNAcentral is "lncRNA (ENSMPUG00000032042.1)". The record is from RNAcentral. Lineage: Eukaryota; Metazoa; Chordata; Mammalia; Carnivora; Mustelidae.